RNAcentral lists this long non-coding RNA (1921 nucleotides) under Equus asinus (donkey). Its description in RNAcentral is "lncRNA (ENSEASG00005031506.1)". The record is from RNAcentral. Lineage: Eukaryota; Metazoa; Chordata; Mammalia; Perissodactyla; Equidae.
ACCAGAAUCGGGAAGCCAGCGAGCACACAGGAAGGCUGAGUGGUGGCAGUGGUGGUGAUGGGGUGUUGGGCUCAGCCAUCAGAGGUUGGGGUGGUGGGAGGUACAGGAGAUGGGGUGUAGGAGAGAGAGGAAGAGAGUCAUCUAUCAACAUCUCAUUGUCGUCUCAACCCAUCAGGGCAGGCAGGUCACUGACAUCUACACCUUUUAUGUCUGCUGCCUCCAUGUCCAAGGUCAAGGUUCAUCAUCUGCUGUGGUUGAUGUGGCUGAUGCAAAAGCUUGAAAUAUGAUGGUAUGCUUGACUGCUUAACCUUAUAACGCUUUGAUACAAAACAAACGCUGAACGCUAUUUUCGUUUUUCUCCUUUUUCUGUAAAAGCAAAAAUCCUCUUCGAAUUCCUUUCAUUUAGCAAAAACAGGCACUAAUGUAGGUCUCUAGUAAAAGCAAAGUGGCGUAAAGCAAACUUUCAGACAGCAGGGGAAACCUGUAUUUAACUACCUUCUCUCAGCCCCUACAUCCCACACAUUCUCCUCCAUAAAAUCAGCUAGAAUUCUCCGCGUGGGAAGGAAGGGAGAUGGGGAGGAAGAGAGACUCGCACCUGAGAAGCCAUAUCAGAAUAUCAAUAGCACGUGUGGCAGUUUCCCACCAUGUGAUUCUGAUCAAGCAUCCCUGCCACGGGUUGACUCCCAGCCCCCUGCUGAGAGUGUCCCUGUCACAGAGGUUUAUUCCAGUGGAGGAUUUGGACAUUCAGAGAUUUAGCUGAAAUGCAUGUGAAUAGAUUACUACUAAGAGAUUUACUUUGAAAUAUUUUGAGAGUAACUCUCCUGAGAUGCUGAAAACACUUCAACCUCGACAUUUCGGUAAAAAGAGUUUUUCUCUUCAUAAUGGCACAAAGUGGAAGCAAUGGACUCAAAAUAACCCAGGAGGCCUGGAACACAUGGGGAAUAUAAAAUAUUGAUUUGGAAGGCUGGAAGGGCUGCCUUAAGAGCAGGUAUCAGAUAAUCAUGGAAAAGAUGAAGCAAGAAGACAAUCCACCAGGUCAUUCUCACUUUAGGAAUUCUGGCUUUCAAUAAAGGUGAAGUAGCUUAUAUCAGACUAGCCCUCCUGUUGGUAACAACUAGAAACUCUGUGGAAAAGAACUACUGUUUGAAGCCACGGAAGAGUGACAAAAUCAUCACAAACUAAAGGAGAUUCCAUCUUUGAAAGAGGAGAACCACAUUGUUGGAGAUCCACACUUAUAUGCUUUUCCCCUAAUGGCACUUCCCAGUCUACAGCCCAGGGUAGAUAGAACUUGAGCAAAACAUUAGCUUGAGGAGUCAGGGGAGACACUCAGGGGCUGCCAGAGUGGCUAGAAGUUGAGAGGGGGAAAUUCUGUAAAGGAGAGUAACAAAUGAGAAAAGCCCCAAAUCUAUGUAUAACACCACUCAGAUCCUUGACUGACUCCUAAACUGCAGAUAUAUACAGUAUUGGGGAAAGGCAACAGUUAGAAGAAACUUCAGUGAAUGCACAGUCAGAUUUUGAAAUUAGAGCUCUGCCAAGUAAGAGUGGAUUGAUAAACACGUCAGGAUUUCCAUUAAAGUCCCAGAAGCACCACAUUUUAAGAUUAAAAACUACAAACCAGGGAGCCGGCCAGGUGGUACAGUGGUUAAGUUUACACAUUCUGCUUCAGCAGCCUGGGGUUCGCCAGUUCAGAUCCCAGGCAUGGACUUACACACCUUUUGUCAAGCCAUGCUGUGGCAGGAAUCCCACAUAUAAAGUAGAGGAAGAUGGGCAUGGAUGCUAGCUCAGGGCCAGUCUUCCUCAGCGAAAAGAGGAGGCCUGGUGGCAGAUGUUAGCUCAGGGCUAAUCUUCCUUAAAAAAAAAACAACAAAACUACAAACCAGGACUAAGUGUGACUUGCCAACAAUUAAACCUCCUGAUAGAA